UACGUAGGUGGCAAGCGUUAUCCGGAAUUAUUGGGCGUAAAGAGCGCGCAGGUGGUUAAUUAAGUCUGAUGUGAAAGCCCACGGCUUAACCGUGGAGGGUCAUUGGAAACUGGUUAACUUGAGUGCAGAAGAGGGAAGUGGAAUUCCAUGUGUAGCGGUGAAAUGCGUAGAGAUUGGAAAGAACACCGAUGGCGAAGGCACUUUACUGGGCUAUUACUAACACUCAGAGACGAAAGCUAGGGUAGCAAAUGGG
This 253-nucleotide ribosomal RNA is filed under the name uncultured bacterium. Its description in RNAcentral is "partial 16S ribosomal RNA". It matches the Rfam family "Bacterial small subunit ribosomal RNA", at positions 524 to 776 of the family's 1533-position model. The record is from RNAcentral.